RNAcentral lists this ribosomal RNA (477 nucleotides) under uncultured bacterium. RNAcentral's name for it is "partial 16S ribosomal RNA". It matches the Rfam family "Bacterial small subunit ribosomal RNA", at positions 28 to 523 of the family's 1533-position model. The record is from RNAcentral.
GACGAACGCUGGCGGCGUGCUUAACACAUGCAAGUCGAACGGUAAGGCCCUUAGGGGUACACGAGUGGCGAACGGGUGAGUAACACGUGGGUGAUCUGCCCUGCACUUCGGGAUAAGCCUGGGAAACUGGGUCUAAUACCGGAUAGGACCACUGCCUGCAUGGGUGGUGGUGGAAAGCUUUUGCGGUGUGGGAUGGGCCGCGGCCUUAUCGCCUGUUGGGGGGGUGAUGGCCUACCGAGGCGACGACGGGUAGCCGGCCUGAGAGGGUGACCGGCCACACUGGGACGGAGAGACGGCCAAGACUCCUACGGGAGGCAGCAGUGGGGAAUAUGGCACAAUGGGCGCAAGCCUGAUGCAGCGACGCCGCGUGAGGGAUGACGGCCUUCGGGUUGUAAACCUCUUUCAGCAUCGACGAAGCGAAAGUGACGGUAGGUGCAGAAGAAGGACCGGCCAACUACGUGCCAGCCGCCGCGGUAA